RNAcentral lists this long non-coding RNA (4768 nucleotides) under Solanum tuberosum (potato). RNAcentral describes it as "long non-coding RNA (STUB_LNC008026)". Lineage: Eukaryota; Viridiplantae; Streptophyta; Magnoliopsida; Solanales; Solanaceae. The record is from RNAcentral.
AAAAAAACAAGAAAACUAAAAAACUAUUAGAACAGGUUCCAAAUUUCGAGGGGAGUCUAGAAAUGAAAGCGAAAGAACAAGCUGCUUAAAUACACUUUUUUCACAGGACAGGUACAUGUUAUAAAUGACAAAAAGGGACUUCUGAGAGAAGAAUAAAGACAUCAGCCUGGAAAUUGAGACAUAAAAUUCAAAUAAAUGGUUCAUGUUGUUAAAUGACAUAAUAAGAGUAUAUAGUGUAAAAGUUAACAGAUCAUUGCAUUAGUUAUGCUGCUUUACAGUAUCUUUUACAAAUGUCAGAUCUAAUAGACUUAAAACACAUGAACUUCAAAGUGCAAUUAUAUAACUAAUUUCUCCCAUUACAGAAACAACUUUACUGCAGACAUGUGUCUUCUAAAUACUCUUCAAUUGUUAAUAUUUGUCAUGCUAUGCUCAUACGAAUACAUGUUAGGUAGAAAACAUUGUGGCUACUUUCCCUGUACAUUCCAGAAAAGUAGUGGCAGGAGUAACAACACAGUCCCAAUGUAUAAUUUAUAAUGGAUCUAAAAUAUAUUUCAAUGAGAAAAAUUAAUAAUUUAAACACAUUAUAGCUGCCAAAUUUGUUCAUUAUAUAUUCAUGUGAAUGUCAUACUACUGAAUGUUGAAGUGAGAUACUUACAUAGUUUUAACAUUUUCAUAUGUGGGAGUGCUAAUAACAUACAUUUACAUACUAUUUUAAAUUAGACAAAAAUAGAUGCAUCUUUCAUGCUUGGAUCUUCUGGACCAUUUUUUUUUAUUAUCAAAAUCACCUGUUACAUUAAAAUUGAGGGAUUAAAUGUCAGCACAGAAUCACAUAGUUUAUACAACACAGGAUAUCUCUGUUAGCAGGUCUAAGAUUUAUAAAUAAUUUAAUCUAAUUCUGACAAUAUAGGCACUAAAAACAACAGCAAGCAAUGUAACGGUAAUAACAUAAGUAUUAUAAACCACAUGGCCAAGACAUUUAACUCUCAACAAAUUCACAUAUUCUUUCCUUCCCAACAACAACAUAAGAAAUGUUGUUGUUAUCCAUUUUAUAGUAGAUAAGCUGACAAUAGAAAUAAUGAUAAUUUACUUAAAGAUAAUUUUUAUUGAACGUAACUUGAAAGUAAAUGACACAUUGCUUACUUGUAAAAAUAAAACAGUGAGGCCACCAAGAACUACGAAUUCAACAAAACUAUCAUUUUUACUUCUUAAUGACUGAUCAACACCACUCCAAUAUGCCCUACCCUGCAUGAAGUCCUUUCUAGUAGCAUGAGAAAUGUUUUGUUUUCUUUUGAAGAGGCCAAGGCAUGGAACUAUCACAGGGAAAAGAGAUUCUAACUUUUACCAGUCAAUACAUUGUAAAAGUUUCAUGAAUUAUAAUAUCAAGAUUAAUUGAAAAUUUCUUUUUCAAAGACUUUUGUUUUCUUCAUUUCCUUGUUUAAGGUGGUUUUGAAAAGCAACACAGAUCUCUACAUUUUCAUAAAGCAGCACAUAUAACAGAAAGUGCACACACCUUUUUAGAACAAUAAAUGUUAAAAAUAAGAGUUUCUUCUUUAGGCGUUCGUAGUAACAAAACUUACAAGGAAAAACAUUAUUUUGCACGUUCACUGUUUAGUUAGUGGUGUGAUUGUGUCAAUAGUAAGCCUUUUUUUCAUUUUGACAAUAUUACAUACAUGCACAAUAAUAAAAUUGUAAGAAGAGUUGAUAUUGAAGGAAACUAACCAACUAAGCCACAACUACUGAUGUAUAGAAAUGAAGAAUGAAUGAGAAGAGAAGGAUAGAAAUGAAGAUAACAAGACUACUGAUGUAUUGAUUGAAGGUUUAUUCUUAAAAAAACAAAGAGAUUGUUCCUAGUGAUUCUAUUUCAAAUUUAAAUUUUGUGAGGUAUUAUAACUAUAAUGUGAUUGUUCGUUGCUUAUUACUCUCAGUUGCAACAUUGGUGCAUUUAUUUUGAGACUUAUAAGAGUUAAUGAUGAACAUGUGAAAUGGUGCAAUUUUUUUAAUUUUGUUUGGCUUCCUACUGAUUUUCAUGUGAAAGUCACAUAAGGUUUAUUUAAGAGGCAUUUAUGGGCUGAAUCUUCUGUUAAUAAGUUGCAAAUGCUAAUGAGGUAUCGAAUCUAAUAAGAAAUGAUGAGGAAGCUAAGGCUAGGCAGAAGCAGGCAAUAGAUUGUAUGAUGAGUAUCCGUAAAGUUAUAUUAUAACAAUAAUAGUAAUGCCUCGUGAACUUCCAUAUAGAAUUGGAGUAAUGUGAAGGAGAGACUGAUAACUUACCUGAAACUGAAAGAUUCAAAAGACUAAACAAACUUGAAACAACAGCAAGAUGAACUGUCUGGAAAAGAGAAGAUGAAAUAAAGUAGUAAAAAAACUAAAAAGUAUCAGAAAAAGAACAAGGAAAUAAACACCCAUUUAACUUUUCAAUAUCAACAUUGAUACAACACAGCCAAAUUAACAUUGAAAUUCGAAAUAAAAAUAAAGAUCAUACAAAAGUAAUAAAUAACGCAACACAAAAACUAAAGGGAAGAGAUGAAGGUUGAAGAAUAUUGGAGAGAAAGGAUUAGACGAAAUAAUAAUUAACAAUAUAAUCUAGGAAUUUCAUAUCAUAAACUUUGAAAGCAUGAAGAGAAUUGACAGAAAAUUGAGAUAAAAACAUGCAUGAGUUGGAUCACCCGAUUGAGAAGAUGAAAGAAAGGAAAGUAUAGUUUUCAAAAGUUUGGAAAAAAAACAAAGAUCAUGGCAAGAAAAUAUGUUAAAUAUAAAAAAGCACCUAUGAAUUCAGCUAUCAAAUUGAAAUUUGAAGAGAAUCAAGAGAUAGCUUGGGUAAAAAUUGGGAGAUAUACUAACCGCAAAUUGGUACAAUCAUCAGUGCAAAGAAAAUUGUACUUCAUUCGAGAGAAAAAUAGAGCAGUGUGAGUGUGGAUGCUUCUGGAAUAAAGUUGAGUGUUCUUUUUUUGCGUAAAAUGAUUUGGGGAUGUUGAGUGACAAGUGCAAUAAAAUAAUAGAUAUAUAACUAAUUUAAUGACGAAUUUGCCCUUGGUUUGGAGUAAGAUAUUGUAUCAUAGAUAUUUAUCAUUUACCCUUUAUGUUGAGUAUAAUUACAAAUCUGCCAUUGGUCGUCCUUGGUCAGUAAGAUGACUAAUGAAAAACUCAAGAAUACUUAGAACCCAAAUACGGUUAAUAUAUGGCAAGAUUAGGUUUCAACAUAGUAUGAUCCCUUCACUAAUUAAUUAAUUAAUAUAUAAUAAUAAUUAGAGAAGUAUGAAUCUAAGCCUCCCAGCUCUUGAAGAAGCAAAAAUUACAUGUACAACUUCUUGAUGAACAUUGAUAUUUUAGUGUCUAAUAAACAUUUGAUUUGACCAUAUAGAAAAAGCUUAACGAUAAAAGCACCAGAAGACACAAAUUUGUGGAGAGAAAGACAGAAAACACAUAAUAAAGAAGAGGUCGAAAAGCUUUAUUUCUAUUCUAAUAAAUAAAUGUAGCAAGAGUGAGAAGAGGUCAAACAAUUGUAACUAACUCCUAAUUCAGUAGUAGCAUAAAAUCAAACAAUACUUAGCUAGCCCAACCAAUAGAAAAAUAGACCGUAUCGAUCAGCACUUCGAUGCUGUUCAAUAAGCAGAAAAACACACAUGUAUAGGCAAAGUGACUAAGUAUAAUGCAUGGACACCUUAACAAAUAGUGCUCCACCAGCCAUCCAGUACAAACACUACCAAUUAAGCAUACAAAUAAUCAAAGUGUAAGAGAAAUCAACCAUGAAACACCUGCACUUUGGGGAUAUUCACGUUAUAUUCCUAUUUACUCAAAGUNNNNNNNNNNNNNNNNNNNNNNNNNNNNNNNNNNNNNNNNNNNNNNNNNNNNNNNNNNNNNNNNNNNNNNNNNNNNNNNNNNNNNNNNNNNNNNNNNNNNNNNNNNNNNNNNNNNNNNNNNNNNNNNNNNNNNNNNNNNNNNNNNNNNNNNNNNNNNNNNNNNNNNNNNNNNNNNNNNNNNNNNNNNNNNNNNNNNNNNNNNNNNNNNNNNNNNNNNNNNNNNNNNNUGUGAUGCUUUAGCUAUAUGAGUGUCUCAAUACUAAAGAUGAAGGCUUUGUUAUACCAUUAAACACGAGCACAAGAGAACAUAGAAAUUUGAAUUAUCCAUAAUCUAAGAGAGAGAUAAUUUUAAGAAAAUAGAAGAUAGAACAAAACACACAGUUAUUAAUUUUUUUAUCAAUUCAUAUUUUUGGAACGACCGAGGGUUGUAAUAUCUAAUUAAGAAAGUGAACAGAAGCCAUCUUUGAAUAUUUCAAAAGGAUUGAUUAAGAGCAAGAAAAAAGAAAACGACCUAGGGUUGUAAUAUCCAAUUAAGAAAGUGAACAGAAGCCAUCUUUGAAUAUUUCAAAAGGAUUGAUUAAGAGCAAGAAAAAAGAAAACGACCUAGGGUUGUAAUAUCCAAUUAAGAAAGUGAACAGAAGCCAUCUUUGAAUAUUUCAAAAGGAUUGAUUAAGAGCAAGAAAAAAGAAAACGACCUAGGGUUGUAAUAUCCAAUUAAGAAAGUGAACAGAAGCCAUCUUUGAAUAUUUGAAAAGGACUGAUUAAGAGCAAGAAAAAAGAAAUGGUCACUCAAAAUUGAAAAUUGAAAAAUUUAAUCGAAGAGAUUUAAGCAAAAAUGCGAAUAGAACAUACCUGGAAACACUCAAUGUCUUAAACCUUUAGUCUUGAAAAUCUAAGAAAACUGAUGCAAAUGAGAUAUUUAUUUAUUUUCAUUGGAAGAGUGGAGAAAGAUGUAGAUGCUUCUAGAGUAU